RNAcentral lists this ribosomal RNA (253 nucleotides) under uncultured bacterium. RNAcentral's name for it is "partial 16S ribosomal RNA". It matches the Rfam family "Bacterial small subunit ribosomal RNA", at positions 524 to 776 of the family's 1533-position model. The record is from RNAcentral.
UACAGAGGUCUCGAGCGUUAGGCGGAAUCACUGGGCUUAAAGCGUGUGUAGGCGGGUCGUUAAGUGCCUUGUGAAAUCCCAUGGCUCAACCAUGGAACUGCUGGGCAUACUGGCGAUCUUGUGCCACCUAGGGGCGAGCGGAACAGAUGGUGGAGCGGUGAAAUGCGUAGAUAUCAUCUGGAACGCCAAUGGUGAAAACAGCUCGCUGGGGGUGUGCAGACGCUGAGACACGAAAGCCAGAGGAGCGAACGGG